CCCUUAGAUGUCCUGGGCCGCACGCGCGCUACACUGAUGCAUUCAACGAGUUGUAACCUUGGCCGAGAGGCCUGGGCAAUCUUUUGAACGUGCAUCGUGAUAGGGAUAGAUUAUUGCAAUUUUUAAUCUUGAACGAGGAAUUCCUAGUAAACGCAGAUCAUCAAUCUGCAUUGAUUACGUCCCUGCCCUUUGCACACACCGCCCGUCGCACCUACCGAUUGAAUGGUCCGGUGAAGCCUCGGGAUUGUGAUGAGUUCCCUUUAUUGGGAGUUUGUUGCGAGAACUUGUCUAAACCUUAUCAUUUAGAGGAAGGUGAANUCGUAGCA
This 326-nucleotide ribosomal RNA is filed under the name uncultured eukaryote. RNAcentral describes it as "partial 18S ribosomal RNA". It matches the Rfam family "Eukaryotic small subunit ribosomal RNA", at positions 1470 to 1796 of the family's 1831-position model. The record is from RNAcentral.